Long non-coding RNA from Cornus florida, 417 nucleotides. RefSeq lists it as uncharacterized. The transcript has 2 exons. The record is from RefSeq and is a predicted model, not a curated record. NCBI's taxonomy places the organism in Eukaryota, Viridiplantae, Streptophyta, Magnoliopsida, Cornales, Cornaceae.
CCAUUCACCAUUCACCGGGUCUCUCUCUCUCUCUCUCUCUCUCUGUUUAUGGGGAAGAGAGACAAAACUCCAGAGCGAAAAGAAAGGCAGGACUUUGUACAAGGUCAAUUUCUAGCAAUUAGCACUUAUGGAUCCACCACCACCAUGUCCAAAGCUCCAGAAAAUGAAAAACAUGGCCGAGAAGCUUUCUUCGCCAACAGAAGUGUCACGGGUGGUUUUGAAUUAGGCAUUGGAAGCUCCAUUUUAAUGGUGGUUUGUUCGUGUUAAUUGGGUGCUAUCCUACCUGAGCUUUUCCUCUUUUAUCUCUUUUUUAUUUUCUUCCUUUUUAAUUUAUUUUUUUCUGACUUGUUGCCCUUUAUUUGUUUCUUAUCUCCAUUCCCGUUGACCUUGUAAACCUUUUUUUUUUUUUUUUUUCUU